Molecule: ribosomal RNA, 169 nt
Filed under: uncultured Thiothrix sp.
Lineage: Bacteria; Pseudomonadati; Pseudomonadota; Gammaproteobacteria; Thiotrichales; Thiotrichaceae
Description: partial 16S ribosomal RNA
Rfam family: Bacterial small subunit ribosomal RNA
Source: RNAcentral
CCUACGGGAGGCAGCAGUAACGAAUCUUCCGCAAUGGGCGAAAGCCUGACGGAGCAAUGCCGCGUGCAGGAUGAAGCAUCUUCGAUGUGUAAACUGCUGUCAGGGUCUAGGAACAAUGACCAGACUCAGAGGAAGGGCCGGCUAAUUCCGUGCCAGCAGCCGCGGUAAU